RNAcentral lists this ribosomal RNA (496 nucleotides) under uncultured bacterium. RNAcentral describes it as "partial 16S ribosomal RNA". It matches the Rfam family "Bacterial small subunit ribosomal RNA", at positions 29 to 507 of the family's 1533-position model. The record is from RNAcentral.
AUGAACGCUGGCGGCGUGCCUAAUACAUGCAAGUCGAGCGAACAGACGAGGAGCUUGCUCCUCUGACGUUAGCGGCGGACGGGUGAGUAACACGUGGAUAACCUACCUAUAAGACUGGGAUAACUUCGGGAAACCGGAGCUAAUACCGGAUAAUAUAUUGAACCGCAUGGUUCAAUAGUGAAAGACGGUUUUGCUGUCACUUAUAGAUGGGUCCGCGCCGCAUUAGCUAGUUGGUAAGGUAACGGCUUACCAAGGCAACGAUGCGUAGCCGACCUGAGAGGGUGAUCGGCCACACUGGAACUGAGACACGGUCCAGACUCCUACGGGAGGCAGCAGUAGGGAAUCUUCCGCAAUGGGCGAAAGCUUGACGGAGCAACGCCGCGUGAGUGAUGAAGGUCUUCGGAUCGUAAAACUCUGUUAUUAGGGAAGAACAAAUGUGUAAGUAACUAUGCACGUCUUGACGGUACCUAAUCAGAAAGCCACGGCUAACUACGUG